CCUACGGGAGGCAGCAGUGGGGAAUAUUGCGCAAUGUGCGAAAGCCGGACGCAGCGACGCCGCGUGAGGGAUGAAGGUCUUCGGAUCGUAAACCUCUGUCAGCAGGGAAGAACGGUCACUGUGCUAAUCAGCAGUGAAUUGACGGUACCUGCAAAGGAAGCACCGGCUAACUCCGUGCCAGCAGCCGCGGUAAUACGGAGGGUGCGAGCGUUAAUCGGAAUUACUGGGCGUAAAGCGCUCGUAGGCGGUAUGUCACGUCAAGGGUGAAAUCCCCGCGCUCAACGUGGGAACUGCCUUUGAAACGUGCAACCUGGAGUGUGUGAGAGGAUAGUAGAAUUCCAGGUGUAGGAGUGAAAUCCGUAGAUAUCUGGAGGAACAUCAGUGGCGAAGGCGACUAUCUGGCACAUAACUGACGCUGAGGAGCGAAAGCGUGGGUAGCAAACAGGAUUAGAUACCCCUGUAGUC
Molecule: ribosomal RNA, 465 nt
Filed under: uncultured bacterium
Lineage: Bacteria
Description: partial 16S ribosomal RNA
Rfam family: Bacterial small subunit ribosomal RNA
Source: RNAcentral